This 354-nucleotide transfer-messenger RNA is filed under the name Clostridium botulinum. It matches the Rfam family "transfer-messenger RNA". From Rfam's summary of the family: Bacterial tmRNA, also known as 10Sa RNA or SsrA, is named for its dual tRNA and mRNA-like properties. Lineage: Bacteria; Bacillati; Bacillota; Clostridia; Eubacteriales; Clostridiaceae. The record is from RNAcentral.
GGGGGCGUUUUGGCUUCGACGGGGGUAAGAGGAGUUUGAUAAGCGAGUCGAGGCAGCAUGUCACCUCGUUAAUCAAGUAUGCAAAAAGAUAAACGCAGAAGACAAUUUUGCAAUAGCAGCCUAAUUUAGCGCUGUUCAUCAGCCCGGGGUGCCCACGCUUCGGAUCACUGGUGUCAUUAAAGUGGGAAACGAAGUUUAGCAAAGCUUUGAGCUAGAGGGGUAUUUAUGAAGCUAGCAAGUAUGUUGCCUGUCUGUAGGCGUUCAUAUGAGCGAAUUUUAAUAUAUAGACUACACUCGUAGAAAGUCAGAUGCAUCUACUCUCGGACAGGGGUUCGAUACCCCUCGCCUCCACCA